GGAUUAUGGCUCAGUGGUAGAGCGCUCACCUAGCACAGGUGGGACCCGGGUUCAAUCCUCCGUGCCA
RNAcentral lists this transfer RNA (67 nucleotides) under Marmota monax (woodchuck). Its description in RNAcentral is "tRNA.Ala". Lineage: Eukaryota; Metazoa; Chordata; Mammalia; Rodentia; Sciuridae. The record is from RNAcentral.